This 72-nucleotide transfer RNA is filed under the name Apaloderma vittatum (bar-tailed trogon). It matches the Rfam family "tRNA". Rfam says of the family: Transfer RNA (tRNA) molecules are approximately 80 nucleotides in length. Lineage: Eukaryota; Metazoa; Chordata; Aves; Trogoniformes; Trogonidae. The record is from Rfam by way of RNAcentral.
GGCCAGUUAGCUCAGUCGGUUGAGCACGGUGCUGAUAAACCAAGGUCGCGGGUUCGAUUCCUGUUCGGUCCC